This 308-nucleotide ribosomal RNA is filed under the name uncultured bacterium. RNAcentral describes it as "bacterial SSU rRNA". It matches the Rfam family "Bacterial small subunit ribosomal RNA", at positions 30 to 334 of the family's 1533-position model. The record is from RNAcentral.
AUUGAACGCUGGCGGCAGGCUUAACACAUGCAAGUCGAGCGGUAACAGGUCCAGCUUGCUGGAUGCUGACGAGCGGCGGACGGGUGAGUAACGCGUAGGAAUCUACCCAGUAGCGGGGGAUAGCCCGGGGAAACCCGGAUUAAUACCGCAUACGCCCUAUGGGGGAAAGCAGGGGAUCUUCGGACCUUGCACUAUUGGAUGAGCCUGCGUCGGAUUAGCUAGUUGGUGGGGUAAAGGCCUACCAAGGCGACGAUCCGUAGCUGGUCUGAGAGGAUGAUCAGCCACACCGGGACUGAGACACGGCCCGG